Non-coding RNA from Caenorhabditis brenneri, 72 nucleotides. The record is from the annotation of a GenBank genome assembly. Lineage: Eukaryota; Metazoa; Nematoda; Chromadorea; Rhabditida; Rhabditidae.
UGCCAUAUGGUGUAGUGGCUAAGCGUUUUGGGUUGGAAACUCAAGGCCGGGGUUCGAUUCCUCAUGGUGCCA